Molecule: long non-coding RNA, 3814 nt
Filed under: Podarcis lilfordi (Lilford's wall lizard)
Lineage: Eukaryota; Metazoa; Chordata; Lepidosauria; Squamata; Lacertidae
Source: RNAcentral
GGAAGGAAGGACUGCAAAGGGUCGUUGCGCUUUUACGCACGGAACGCAGUUAGGAAGUGGCAGGCUGGUUCGGGAGGGGACCAGUUUAUAAGACUUUUAGAUGGAUGAUUGCCGGGAAUCCUGGCCUGCAAUGUGGCCGGUUUGCAGGCUGCCGUUUACACUGGGUUGCUUUUCCUUCUGGAACAAACCCCGGCACGUUUUUGCAUGCAAAUCGGUGGCUAAGGCUGCAGCACUCCAGAUUUCGCUUUAGAUUAGAUGAUUGCAAGGAAUCCCGGCCUGCAAUGUGGCCGGCUUGCAGGCUGCCGUUUGCAUUGGGUUGCUUUUCCUAUUGGAACAAACCCCGGCGCGUUUUUGCAUGCAAAUCGGUGGCUAACGCUGCUUCGCUCCAGAUUUCGCUUUUUUAAACGGAUUCGUUUGUUGCUCUAGCCUCGGUGUGCUUUCGUGCGAGGGGCUCUUUUGGGUGGGUAGGGGCUGCAAAUCCCAAACAGCCGCUGUGGAAUCGUAGAGUUGGAAGAGGCUUAAUCUGACCACCCCGAGGCUUGAGCAACGCAACGCGUUGUGGCGGGUGGGGUGUUUUGUUAGCCAGCAUAAUUCAAAGAUAAAGUUCGAACAAUAUUUUGAACCUCCAGGCUAAGCAACAACCCUUCUCCCUGACACCUGUAAUUCUAGGUGAAGCAUCUUGCAUGUCCCUGUGGUCUGAAAUGGUACAGCCAAACACACGCUUAUCACUUGAAAGAGAGCGAGGUUUGGAAUAUGAAUAAAUCGCACUUCAAUAUACAUUUCGAGGCGAUUUACAACCAUACAAUAAAACACCUAAAGAUAAGUUUAGGAAUAAUACAAACAAACACCCGAGACAGAGACUUUCCUCCCCAAUCCUGCUGAAAAAGUUUGUCAGAAGAAAAUGGUUUUUAAUUUUUUUCCUGGAAAUUACAAAUAGGAGGCAGCUGUUGUGUUUCAACAGGUGUGCAGUUCCACAAAAGAUUCCCUUGGGGGUCCCUUUACAAAUAAGAUGUCAAGAAUCAUUAAAGAGACUAGGACUACUAAAGUACCUAAUUGAUUUUAAUGGCAUUCUCUUCAUCAGCAUUUGGGGAGUGGGAUAAUUACCUAGCAGAAGUCCCUUUUCCAACCACUUGAAAAGUUAGCUCAGGAAUCCCUAGCCGUCUCUUAAUACAAGUGUGCAGUGCCGUCUAGUGGACGCCUUGGGAUCAUGUCAGGCUGUCAACUUUAGAGCUGUGCGCAGGCAUACCUAAAAACAGGAAAGCUUUUGAGUUUUUUUCUGAUGCAGGGUGGAUAAGUUCUGCUCCUCUCUUCCCCUCAAGGAAAACACGCAGCCUCUAAAUCGUUUGCCUCUUCGCCCGUGUAACCCAUACUUCAGGUAGAAUACUUGACCCGUUUCUUUUCUCUAGUAGUGUUUUGUGUGUGGUCAUCUGGUCAGAUUUUAGCUCUUAAGGCUGGGCUUGAAAUUCUUGGAGAUCUUUGCAACGAAGCCAUGAUGCAUGGGUGGGGCUUCAAGGGUGGCAGCGAAACUGUCCCCAAAUCAAACACAUCUUGGUUUUCUUUUUAGCAAGGAGGGUAACUACUUAUUUGCAGCAUAGCCCUGAAACUUGCUGCAUGUCCCCUUUUUGGGGAGUUCUAGCAUCUGUGCAUCAAUAGAGUUAGAGUGCACUGAAAAAGAGAGCUAUAUAUGUUGUGUGUGUGUGUGUGUGUGUGAGAGAGAGAGAGAGAGAGAGAGAGAGAGAGAGAGUGUAUUUCUCAGAAAAAGGAUCUGUCUUUUGUUAAGCUGUACAGUUCCCUGCACAUUAAUGGUAAUAUAAAUACGUGUGUGUGUGUGUGUGUGUGUGUGUGUAUACUAAGAACUUAUGAUUAUUCAACAUGAUUCCUGGAAUGUCAGUAGACUGCAUUCUUGGAGGCAGCAUACCACAUGUAAAAGUCCAAAAACACCUACAUAAAAACCCCUCCAUCAACACUCCGAAGCAUUGCAAACUUAACAACAUUAAGUUUUAAAUGUUGCAAUGCAGCGUAAUUAACCCCUGUUCAGGAUUCUGCCAACCCAGUCCAUUCUUCCUCCACCCUCUGGUUUUCUGUUUCCCUCCCUCAACAGUCAGUCAACAUUCUGUGGCGACUGAGCUCAAUCCUCUUUCAAAUGGGUUUUUUAAGCAGUGGGAUGGGACUUAGUCACCCCCUCCUUUUUUUCAUUGCUAUGAGUUGGUGGGUGCCAGACUCUCCUAAAUUCCUGGGUCCAGUAGGUGUUAGAAUUCAGAAGGCUUGGGGAGUUAAACUGGAUGCUAGACCCAGCUUUCUGUGUUCAGGGAAAUGGGCCAUUAUGAGAACAAAGGAAAGGUAAUGAGCCACUGAGAAAUCAAAGACCCUGUGGCAGACGACAAAUCAACUCAGAAUUAGUUAGAAGACAAAGCCAGAGCUUGAAUUAAUGUAUUUAAGGUUGCAGGCUGGUAAAGGGCAGCAAGCCGGAAAGAGGGUCAGAACAAGAUGGUUGACUUAUAUCUGAAUCUAAGGACAAACUAUGGGACAAACAAGGCCAUUUUGGGUGUUGAUGCUGUCAACCCCUUCAUCAUGGGCUCAGGAUGUAUAUGUGUGUAUAUAAACCAUAUAUCAUAAAGACACCACAGUCUCUGCUUUGCCUCAUUUCCAAAAGGAAACAUAAACGAUGGGUAAGCACUUGGAACGCCUGGAAUCUUGCCCCACUCAGAUAUUGUGGUGGCGUGCAACACUAUUCUGAAAAUCUAGGGGUUUCCUUAAGCCACUUGAUACCUCCCUUUUUAUGGGUGGUCCCAUUAUGGAUCCAUAUAUUAUUAAGCAUGGCAUGAUGUUUUUCCUGCACUGGUUUUAUAUGAUGAAAACAUUUAGUAUCACCAGUGGUUAUUUCAACAUUACAACAUAAUUACAAUGUAAUGGGUUGGGUUUUUUUAAUGCCUCGAUUUUUAAUUUUUUAUUAUUUUUCAGGUUUAUACAUUUCACUAAUUUUACAAUCAUUCUGACAUUUCAAAACUUGACUUCCUUACCCCUCUUUCUGCAGUUCCUUAAAUUUAUUUUUAAUAUCUUCUGCAUUUCAAAAUUAACUGAUAUAACACAAAGGUUAUAUCAGUACAGAUGGUUGCACUUUUUGUGGAAAGAAACCUAGCCACAACCAGCUAGGUAGUUUCUUCUCGGUUAUUAGGGACAGAGCUGAUGUCUGCAACAGCCAGGAGGAGAACCCCCGUGUAAAGGGGGUGUGUGUGCCCCUGUAUUUCCAUUUUUUUAUUUGCUUUUAUGAAACUGGAAACUUAACGUAUUUACUAUUAUUUACCUUGCCUUUAUGCUUCUAAAAAACCUGAAGCCUCUUAGGAAUUCUAGGGGCCGAAAUCCCAAGGGAGCAGAAAAGACUAUUUAUGUAUGUGACCAUGGCUGCGCGGAUAUAAUUAGCUCAGAGACGGAAAUAAGAUAAAGUUGCUACCAAAGAAGAACGGCAGAUCAAGUUGAUGGAUUCUGCCGAAAUGGCUAGAAUGUCCGGAAGAAUUUGAAAUCAGGAAGACCAACAUUUUAAUAAGGAAUAGGGAAAAUUUAUAAUUUAUCUUAAAAACUAUUGUAAACAGUUAAAAUCGUUAGUAGGAUUGGAAUAUCACUUGUGGUUUAAUGGUAAAUUUUGAACACAGUGGAGAGGUAAAAGAUUUGGAUUAUUAUAAAAGAUGCAGAAGGAAAUGAUUCACAACAGGAGAAAAGGGAAGUCCAGAAGAUUCUUUGGAAUCUUGUUUUUAUGUUGUAUGUUCGAUAUGUGACAGUAAAAUUUUAAUCUGAAAAACCAAAUAAAUUUAUUUUU